RNAcentral lists this ribosomal RNA (1402 nucleotides) under metagenome. RNAcentral's name for it is "SSU rRNA". It matches the Rfam family "Eukaryotic small subunit ribosomal RNA", at positions 368 to 1801 of the family's 1831-position model. The record is from RNAcentral.
GGUUAGGGCUCGACCCCGGAGAAGGAGCCUGAGAGACGGCUACUACAUCCAAGGAAGGCAGCAGGCGCGCAAAUUGCCCAAUCCCGACCCGGGUAGGUAGUGACAAUAAAUACUGAUACAGGGCUCUUUUGGGUCUUGUAAUUGGAAUGAGUACAAUUUAAAUCUCUUAACGAGGAACAAUUGGAGGGCAAGUCUGGUGCCAGCAGCCGCGGUAAUUCCAGCUCCAAUAGCGUAUAUUAAAGUUGUUGUGGUUAAAAAGCUCGUAGUUGAACCUGGGCCUCGCGCAGACCGGUCCGCCUCACCGCGUGCACUGGUCCUGCCGGGGCUUUCACUAGGGGAUUCGCAUGUCCUUCACUGGGCGUGUGCGGAACCUGGACUUUUACUGUGAAAAAAUUAGAGUGUUCAAAGCAGGCCUAUGCUCGAAUACAUUAGCAUGGAAUAAUAGAAUAGGACGUGUGGUUCUAUUUUGUUGGUUAUGGGACCGCCGUAAUGAUUAAUAGGGACAGUCGGGGGCAUCAGUAUUCAAUAGUCAGAGGUGAAAUUCUUGGAUUUAUUGAAGACUAACUACUGCGAAAGCAUUUGCCAAGGAUGUUUUCAUUAAUCAGGAACGAAAGUUAGGGGAUCGAAGACGAUCAGAUACCGUCGUAGUCUUAACCAUAAACUAUGCCGACUAGGGAUCGGGCGAUGUUAUUUUUUGACUCGCUCGGCACCUUACGAGAAAUCAAAGUUUGUGGGUUCCUGGGGGAGUAUGGUGGCAACGCUGAAACUUAAAGAAAUUGACGGAAGGGCACCACCAGGAGUGGAGCCUGCGGCUUAAUUUGACUCAACACGGGGAAACUCACCAGGUCCAGACACAAUGAGGAUUGACAGAUUGAGAGCUCUUUCUUGAUUUUGUGGGUGGUGGUGCAUGGCCGUUCUUAGUUGGUGGAGUGAUUUGUCUGCUUAAUUGCGAUAACGAACGAGACCUUAACCUGCUAAAUAGCCCGCGUUGCUCCUGCAGCGCGCCGGCUUCUUAGAGGGACUAUCGGCUCAAGCCGAUGGAAGUUUGAGGCAAUAACAGGUCUGUGAUGCCCUUAGAUGUUCUGGGCCGCACGCGCGCGACACUGACAGGGCCAGCGAGUACUCCCUUGCCCGAAAGGGCCGGGUAAUCUUGUUAAACCCUGUCGUGCUGGGGAUAGAGCAUUGCAGUUAUUGCUCUUCAACGAGGAAUUCCUAGUAAGCGCAAGUCAUCAGCUUGCGCUGAUUACGUCCCUGCCCUUUGUACACACCGCCCGUCGCUACUACCGAUUGAAUGGCUCAGUGAGGCUUUCGGACUGACCCAGGGAGGUCGGCAACGACCCCCCAGGGCCGGAAAGUUAUCCGAACUCGGUCAUUUAGAGGAAGUAAAAGUCGUAACAAGGUC